Molecule: ribosomal RNA, 497 nt
Filed under: uncultured bacterium
Lineage: Bacteria
Description: partial 16S ribosomal RNA
Rfam family: Bacterial small subunit ribosomal RNA
Source: RNAcentral
GACGAACGCUGGCGGCGUGCCUAAUACAUGCAAGUUGAGCGAUGAAGAUUGGUGCUUGCACCAAUUUGAAGAGCAGCGAACGGGUGAGUAACGCGUGGGGAAUCUGCCUUUGAGCGGGGGAUAACAUUUGGAAACGAAUGCUAAUACCGCAUAACAACUUUAAACAUAAGUUUUAAGUUUGAAAGAUGCAAUUGCAUCACUCAAAGAUGAUCCCGCGUUGUAUUAGCUAGUUGGUGAGGUAAAGGCUCACCAAGGCGAUGAUACAUAGCCGACCUGAGAGGGUGAUCGGCCACAUUGGGACUGAGACACGGCCCAAACUCCUACGGGAGGCAGCAGUAGGGAAUCUUCGGCAAUGGACGAAAGUCUGACCGAGCAACGCCGCGUGAGUGAAGAAGGUUUUCGGAUCGUAAAACUCUGUUGGUAGAGAAGAACGUUGGUGAGAGUGGAAAGCUCAUCAAGUGACGGUAACUACCCAGAAAGGAACGGCUAACUACGUG